This 120-nucleotide ribosomal RNA is filed under the name Kiloniella spongiae. The record is from RNAcentral. Lineage: Bacteria; Pseudomonadati; Pseudomonadota; Alphaproteobacteria; Rhodospirillales; Kiloniellaceae.
GACCUGGUGACUAUAGCGAGAGUCCCAACACCCGAUCCCAUCCCGAACUCGGCCGUGAAAACUCUCAGCGCCAAUGGUACUGCAUCUUAAGGUGUGGGAGAGUAGGUCGUUGCCAGGUCU